This 519-nucleotide ribosomal RNA is filed under the name uncultured eukaryote. Its description in RNAcentral is "SSU rRNA". It matches the Rfam family "Eukaryotic small subunit ribosomal RNA", at positions 1162 to 1694 of the family's 1831-position model. The record is from RNAcentral.
GGGCACCACCAGGAGUGGAGCCUGCGGCUUAAUUUGACUCAACACGGGAAAACUCACCCGGCCCGGACACUAGGAGGAUUGACAGACUGACUAGCUCUUUCUUGAUUCAGUGGGUGGGGGUGCAUGGCCGUUCUUAGUUGGUGGAGCGAUUUGUCUGGUUAAUUCCAAUAACAAACGAAACUCUAGCCUACUAGUUAGCCGGCCCGGUCGUUAUGCGCCCGGGCAGCGAGCUUCUUCAAGGGACAGACGGCGAGUAAGCCGUACGAGAUAGAGCAAUAACAGGUCUGUGAUGCCCUUAGAUGUCCGGGGCCGCACGCGCGCUACACUGAAGUGAUCAGCACGCUAGCAAGCCCGCUCCGAGAGGAGCGGGUAACCGUUUGAACCCCCUUCAUGAUAGGGAUUGAGCUUUGUAACUAUUGCUCAUGAAAUUCGAAUUCCCAGCGGCGUGAGUCAUUACCUUACGCCGAUUACUGUCCCUGCCCUUUGUACACACCGCCCGUCUACUACUACCGAUUGAAU